UACGUAGGGUCCAAGCGUUAUCCGGAAUCACUGGGCGUAAAGCGUGCGUAGGUGGGUGUUUAAGUGAGAUGUUAAAUCGUGUGGCUCAACCAUAUCGAUGCCUCUCAUACUGGGCACCUAGAGGACGGCAGAGGCAAGUGGAAUUGGUAGUGUAGCAGUGAAAUGCGUAGAUAUUACCAGGAACACCAAUGGCGAAGGCAGCUUGCUGGGCCACUCCUGACACUGAGGUACGAAAGCGUGGGGAGCGAACAGG
This 253-nucleotide ribosomal RNA is filed under the name uncultured bacterium. RNAcentral describes it as "partial 16S ribosomal RNA". It matches the Rfam family "Bacterial small subunit ribosomal RNA", at positions 524 to 776 of the family's 1533-position model. The record is from RNAcentral.